CCGGCCGCUCCGGCCUCCCCGGCUCCGACGGGACCCCGGGACCCCCCGGCACCGCCCUGAUGCUCCCGUUCCGUUUCAGCCCCAAGGGCCCGGGCGAGCUCCAGGCUCAGGCGCUGCUGCACCAGGCCCGCAUGUCGCUGCGGGGCCCCCCCGGCCCCAUGGGCUUCACCGGGCGCCCCGGGCCCACGGGCCAGCCCGGCAGCUCCGGCCUCAAGGGCGAAAGCGGCGACUUCGGGCCCCAGG
Molecule: long non-coding RNA, 243 nt
Organism: Passer montanus (Eurasian tree sparrow)
Lineage: Eukaryota; Metazoa; Chordata; Aves; Passeriformes; Passeridae
Exons: 4
Source: RefSeq, a predicted model, not a curated record